This 503-nucleotide ribosomal RNA is filed under the name uncultured Acidothermus sp. RNAcentral's name for it is "bacterial SSU rRNA". It matches the Rfam family "Bacterial small subunit ribosomal RNA", at positions 521 to 1020 of the family's 1533-position model. The record is from RNAcentral. Lineage: Bacteria; Bacillati; Actinomycetota; Actinomycetes; Acidothermales; Acidothermaceae.
UAAUACGUAGGGUGCAAGCGUUGUCCGGAUUUAUUGGGCGUAAAGAGCUCGUAGGCGGUUAGUCACGUCGGAUGUGAAAAUCCAAGGCUUAACCUUGGACCUGCAUUCGAUACGGGCUGACUAGAGUGUUGUAGGGGAGACUGGAACUCCUGGUGUAGCGGUGAAAUGCGCAGAUAUCAGGAAGAACACCGAUGGCGAAGGCAGGUCUCUGGGCAACUACUGACGCUGAGGAGCGAAAGCGUGGGAAGCAAACAGGAUUAGAUACCCUGGUAGUCCACGCCGUAAACGGUGGGCGCUAGGUGUGGGGAACAUUCCACGUUCUCCGUGCCGCAGCUAACGCAUUAAGCGCCCCGCCUGGGGAGUACGGCCGCAAGGCUAAAACUCAAAGGAAUUGACGGGGGCCCGCACAAGCGGCGGAGCAUGCGGCUUAAUUCGAUGCAACGCGAAGAACCUUACCUAGGCUUGACAGUUAGUGAAAUCCGGCAGAGAUGUCGGGUCCGCAA